CUCCCUGCAUAACCUUUCCUUCCCCCUGCCCUCCCCAGGCUCACCUUGAGCUCUCUGCAAUGCCAGUGGCAUCGCUCCUCUGCCUUUUCCUGUGCCGUGGUGCCACACACUCUGCAGGUGAGGGAUGGUGCUAGCUCUACAGCAAACCCCAACCCCCCUUGCAUGCCCUGCAUGUGAAAUUUCGAAGGGGCUGAUCUUUUUCUGUAGGCACACCUGAGCUGCUGUCACUGCCCAGCCGUGCCCUUAUGAUGCAGAGGGGCUGCCCAGCAGAGCCACCACCGCACUUGGAGCCAGCUCCCAGCUCAGCUGGGGUCCAGCACCACUCAGCCCUCGCAGGGAAGCCUCCCUGCAGCCAGGCUGCUCUUCCAAAAGGAGAACCUGGUGCUUGAGAGUCACCAAAUCCUUUAAUCCCUGCAGCCACUUUAACCCUUGGCCUCCUGAGCCCUGCUGAAGGACCUGAAAGCUAGCCGAAAUCCCCAAGUAUCAAAAGGAUCACCAUACAUCCUCAAAUAAACCCUCUUUCUUUACCUCUCUCCCUUUGUGAGGAUUUAUGCUCGUGAGAGACACUGCUGUUCCUAAGGAAAUGGCUUGAGGUUUAAAACCCCCCUUCUUGGUUUUUAUUUCUUGUCUCUUGAGGGUUAACAAUCCUCGGGAGAGUGCAGAGCAGCCUGUCUAUCCACUUUGGUAAUUGAAAUCAAUUUCUCUGCCUUAUCUUUAGGAAACCUAUAUAGUCAAGACACUAAUCUGCUGGCUCUGGCAUCUUUUAAAUGAAAACCUAUUUGGAAAAAAAAAAAAAUCCCUUUCCCUGCCUACUAAUGCUCCUUCGCUCAGAGAGACAAACACCAGGCCAAGAGGCUUUUUGGAAGCAAGCACCCAUCACUUGUCAGCCCUUCCCUCAGCAGGGAGUAUUGGUGAACCCUCUGCCCAGAUCCCAGCAGUUCUGACUGCCCCAGGGAAGGCAGGGGCUGUCCCCUGCCUCAAUGGGUCCUGCGGGCAGGGAAGGGGAACCCACUGCCUGCUCACGGACAUAGCCAGCACGUGGGCUCCCCUAACAGCAUCCAUCCUCCUCACUGAUGUCCCCAAGGGACCCAAAGAGGAGCUGGGAGCAGGGCCCGUGGCCAGACAGCUCCUUGGCUCCUGUUGCCAUUACUGCCGGUCUCUGUUCUGACUCUUGCACACACUGUUACUGUAGAAAGGUCACAAAAACAGGAUGCCAGUUGUGCAUGCUGAUCACGUGCAGAGCUGCGGUCAGGAAUGAAGGAGCUAAAUCGCCUGCAAGCCCUGCUCUGCCGAGUGGAAGAGUGCAUCCCUUUGCAAACCUCUUCUAUCAAAUCUUUAGUUGCCUAAAAUGAAGCCUAUAGAGAAAAAAACAGACCCAAACAAUGUUCUCUCCUAAUCCUGUUGAUUAGGAGCCCAGCCAAGCCAAUAGAUUUCUAAUUUGAAGUCAAUCAGGCUUGAAAUCCCUGUAGUUUUGAUUGUAAUUACACAGAUGAAGUAAUCAAUAGGGAAUCAUAGCACCCUGAACCUAAAAAGGGGAAGUCAAAACCCACAGGCAUACUUGUGGUUCCUUGGGCUCGGUGAGCAGGGCAGCACCAUGCAAGGCUGACAGCUGGGUUUGCUCCAACAGGCUGUUACACAUGGUGCAUUUCGGGGGGCAUCUAGUGGGAAGGAGAAGCCACAGAACAGGUAAUGAGAAAGCACAGAAACUGAUGGCGAGACCUAAAGUUGGAGUCCCACAUGAGGCAGAUUCAGAAAGGACCUGAGUUAGGGUCCCGAGAUCAGAACAUGACCACUCAAGGUAUCUGUUCUUCAGCUGUGUGGAAGAAGCCUUCGGCACUGCAGCUAGAAAAGUGCAUUUACCAGAAGUUAACAAUUUGUAGUUUCUUUCAAACCAAGUGCACUUCUUGAGCAAGACAAUAUAAUUAAAAGAGGCACAUUAAUAUCAUGAGAUAAGCAUCACUGACCACAUUUAUGGCAAUAUAAAAAGGAAUUCAGAGAAAAAAGAAACUACACCCUAUAAAUCAAAGCAUUUUAGUGCAUAGAAUUCAGAAACAAAUCUAUGAAUUGUAAUAGAGCAUGACAAAAUCUCAUAAACAGUAGUAAAUAUUAAACCCCCAAUGACAAACAGAUAUGUUGCAUCCUGUCUGAGGAUUUUCUCAAUGCAUCAGAUUGAGAGCAGUUCCCCAACUCUUAUUCUCUUAAUCGAGGUAAUUUGCUUUAAGUGUUUCUUGCAGCUGAGAAAUGACAAUUGCCCCUUUAAUAUUGUGGUAAUACAAACAGCAGUUUUUCACCUGAUGAUGCUAAUCAUUGUGGGCUCUCUGAGGGCAGAAUUCUCUUUGGGUGAGAAAGCCUGAUAAGAGACUAACACACCAGGAAGUGAAAUGGAUGACUUUUGACUGGGUAAAGGUAGAGCAGGAAAAAGCCAUUUCACUGCCUUGGCAUCCCCAUCCAGUUAUUCAUUAUGCUAAAUUGCCAUUUUAUUCCUUUCAGCUUCCUGAGACAUCAAUAUAGCAUAAUGAAGUUAUCACAAGAUGCAGUUUGCUGAGCUAAUUUGGUGAUGGCAUUAGAAAGCAGUUCCAGGUAACGGCUGAGAAGAAUUUUGUUUAGAGAAGUGAACAUGGGGAUGGUUGGGGUUAUUCAAAACAGGCAGUAGUUUCUUCCACCAUCCCUGCCCUUCCAGACCAACAGGAAAGUUUUUUAAUCCUUGGAUUGUUAAAGAUUUCAAGAAGUUUCAAUACUCAAUGUCACAGCAAUGAAAAUUGGAAAGGUUAAUAUAAAAAUAGGCUGCCCCUGUCUCUGACCACUCAAUGCUAUUGAAAAGAAAAGUUUGAUUUAUUUCUCCAGUAGUACAGCACUUCAUUAAAGUUUAAGGUAAGCUUGAGAUACUUUCCUCAGCAAAUGGAAUACCCAAGGAGUAAAAAUACGAUGCUUAUCAACAAAUAACCCUGAGUACAUCAGCUUAUUUUCCUCAAACACCACUGACAAAUGAUGCAUAAGAGGGUACCAAGAAGCAAGGAGACAGUGCGUGUCAUGUCGCAAUUGCUCAACACUUGCAGCCUACGAUAAUUUGGAAAUCCAUCUAUACACAUCUCACUACGUUUCUGACAUUGGAAACUCCUUUAACUUGACUGCAACUUCCAUUUUGAAUACAGGACACUUUUUUUUAAGCUUUAUGACAAACUGCAGCCAGGAGUAUUUUAGCUGCAGAUUUCCUCCCCUGGCAGAAUCCCUCCUGCUCACCAAGCUACUGCUACACCUGGAGCCAGAGAGCCCUCAAACUAAGACAACGCAGUUGCUCGUUUCAUGCAGCUUAGGCUACCACCUCCAAAGCAACCAUUUUGCAACCACGCUAUUUUGGCAGCAACUUACCACACGUUAGGAACAAAUGUAUUCUGUCAAGCAGUUCUUUGGGUUACAACUGUUCCUCCAUUAAUCUUAAACGUAUCGAGCAAAGAACAAGCUCAUUGUUGGAAGGAAUAAUGCAGAACACUGCUCAAAACAUUAUGUGCUACAUGCAGGAAUGCCUCCCUCCCCAGCUAUUAGUCACUUUGCAUUAAUGUGCACUGCAUUAAUUGCUCACUGAAGGAGUGGCUACAAAACACAAUGGGAGUGACAUUGCAUGCUGACAGACUGACAGAAAAUAAGAAGGUACUGGAGGAAAGCAUUUCACUGCGGGUUGGGUAGAACAUGGCUUCAGGGCUGCACCAUCACAGGGUGCUUCAUGCUCCCUACUGCUGAGGAGCAGAGCAGCAAGGCACAGCAGCAGGUCUCUGGGGGAUGCCAGGCACACACUCCCCAGGAGCAGAGGGUAAUUGGGAUACUGCAGAGUCCAGGAAGGAUGAGCAGUCAAGCAAGGAGUGAAUUAGGGUGAUUAAUAUUUCCAGACUGCAGAUUCAGACCACAAGUCCUUCCAGCCAAGGACCCCUACUCCAGAAGCACGCUGUGGCAGUUGCUUUAGACAAAGAGACACCUCUCAGGGCUAUGGUGUGAGCUGCUCAUGAAGGGUCCCUUCCUGUCACAGGGCACACUCUGGCCAUUUAAAUCGGAGUCCUGUUGUCUAUGCCAAAGAGACAAGUGGGCUGAUCUGUAAAUAUCACGCAUUUUUACCCAGUCUCAAACUGCCACUCUGAAUGCAAACCUGACUUGAAAUGAAUCAGAGUACUUCACAGUGCAGGUAAAUAAAAGACAAUACUAAGGGACCUGGAUACAAAGAAAACAGUUGUUCUUCAAGCAUUUCUACCCCUUCCCCCUCAAAUUUCAAUAGGCCAUGUCUAAUUAUUGAAAGGCACAUAUUCCCCCUCACACUGGGUUAUUAUCAGACCAUACCACAUGUGUCAGUCCACAGAAUUAGCAGCUAUAAUUGGACCCUUUUAACAAGGUACACAACACAUUUUAAAUUAAAUUGCAUUCCAUAAAUCAGGUUAACCUUUUCAACAUUGCUCUAAGAAAAUUAAUUACUCAUAUCGAAGCAUAUGACCUUUUCACAGUGCUUGGGAUUAGCUUCCACAUUUCUUUUUAUUUUCUGCUCCUCCUCCCUCUUUCCCAGCCCAGCCUUCUUCAUUUAAAAGAGCCCAAAUAGGCAAGGCUAAACACAUAGCUUCAGCUCUCAUUCACAGCUCCAACCAAGCACAAUAGCUGCUAUUCUUUUCAAGUUCACUUCCCCUUAAGAGGUGUCCCUUCUUCCCCCUUCCCUCCCUUCUGGCCAGUGAAACAGGGCUGCCCAGGUGGCAACGUUCAUCAUCUGACUUUUAGCUUUGGUUUGAUGCUUGCUUGAAAAACCUGGGAGCCUUGUGACUAUGUAGGGAGCUGUUUCCAACACCAGCAAGAGGCAGUUUUUCUACUUUUCCAGCCCUUAGAAUAAUGUGAAAGUGUGAUCCAGUACCCUAAAAACUAGGAAGGAAGGGAAAGCUGCUUUACUGCGUUAAGAUUUCCCAGGACUUUCUACAAUACUUCUGCAGGGUCUGUGAAAGUAAAUGUCAGCAUCAUCAUCCUAGUACUGGCCUAGGAACACCAGGAAAAAAGGCUUCCUAUCACAGUUAGUAGUGCCGUAUUUUCUAUCAGCUUAAAAAAAUGUGCUAAGAAGCUUUUUCACAGAACCCUUACGAAUUUCUUCUUUGAAAAGGACCCUGAAAUUUGAUAAUGGGCCCAGAUCUUUCCUUUCUACUUUUCAAACAGAAAUGUAAUAAGGAAUGGUGUUUGGAGGGGAUAAAACCAGCAACAAAGCAAACAGAACAACCUUAAACAAAACCAGGUGGGAAAUACCCAAACAGAUAUAAUCUCAUUCUUUCCCCCACCUGAUCCUACUUGUAGCUUCUAUGUAAUUUGGAUUUUAUGAGUAUUCUUUUAUCUUCCAGGGCAAGUUCAAAAAAUGGACUAGCAAUAUCAAAAAGUAACAAGUCUCAAUUCUGAGAGAAUUAGAACAGAAAUGUUUUUCCUACUCUUUGGUAGGGAAGCAGAAGAAGCUUGGAUGAGCUUUGUGUCUGAAGCAAGAGCCUUUUCUAUCCUUGAUUAUAUCCCAAGAAGUCACAUCUGUACACAGGGCACCCCCAGUAACCCAUCUGUACCUCAUCUCCUUGGUCACAGCCAUCCCCAGCAGCACAGUAGGGCUGUGCCAGCUCCAGGACCUUCAUCAGCACUGGAAACUUCCUCGACGCCGUCCCUCUGGAAGCCCGCCUUUUCGGCCCGCCGCUAUCUGGCGCUGACAGAAAGGGGCAAAGCGCUCCCUGCAGGCCUUGAAAUGGCGGUGGCCGCCUGGCCCGCCCAGCACCGAGGUGAUAAAUAGGGCCCCCCCACCACUCCACAGCCGUUGCUGCCGUCUGUAGGGGCGAGGGGAGUGUCUGAGUAUUAUAUUUUUAAGGAAAUGUGGCGCCAAAAGCAGCGUUUUGAGGCUUUUCCCUCAGGGUGGAGCUAUCUUGGAGGUGCUCAGGCGAUGGAGGGCGCAGGGCUGCAGCAGGCAGGCUGCCCUGGGGCCUGCACUGUUCUCUGCCCCCAGUCAGAAUCUCCUUCCCCAGCCAGGCCUUCAGCCUCCAGGGUGCUGUCCUUCUGUUUGGCCUACCCUGUGCUCCAGCCUGAUCCUGGCUGCUGCCCGCCUCCUGUGGUCCCUUGCUGAUGGUGGCAGGCUCCUCUCCU
Cygnus olor (mute swan) is the source of this 6129-nucleotide long non-coding RNA. RefSeq lists it as uncharacterized. The record is from RefSeq and is a predicted model, not a curated record. Lineage: Eukaryota; Metazoa; Chordata; Aves; Anseriformes; Anatidae. The transcript is spliced from 3 exons.